This is an RNA transcript of Cotesia glomerata, 1389 nucleotides long. RefSeq lists it as uncharacterized. The transcript has 6 exons. NCBI's taxonomy places the organism in Eukaryota, Metazoa, Arthropoda, Insecta, Hymenoptera, Braconidae. The record is from RefSeq and is a predicted model, not a curated record.
CAAAUGUAAAAAUCAACUAGACAAAAAAAAUUGAUUAUGUUACCUCAAAUAUAUGUGAUUUUUGGAAAUUGUUAGAGUUUUUGGAAGCUUCUCAAAUGUGUAGUGGAAGUGGAUGUGAUAGUGAAAAAUCUUCAGUAGCAUGUACGGUAUUGUUUGAGCCGAAAGAACUAUAUAAGAAACAGGCAGCAAUAUAUCGAUGUGACUCAUGUCGACAAGUGAGAAAAAAAAUAGGUAAUCAAUUGUAUAGACCAAAAUUGGAUAUUGAUGCGAAAAAUAAAAAACUAAAACUUGAGCUAAACUCAGUAAAAAAAAAAAAUAUUCGCUUAACUAAUAAGGUACGUAAUUCGUUCUCUACAUGAUUGUUAGUAAAGUAAAAAGAAAGUUAUUUUAUUCAUAACCUUCGUAAAAUUCUUAAUAACUUUAGAAUGAAACUUUAAAACUAACCGUUGAAGAAGAAAGACAAAGGUGUGCUCAUGCUUCUGAAAUACUAAUCAACCAAGAAACUUUAAACUUGCCUCCGAUUCAACAAGAAACGGUUAAAGCUUGUUUUGCAGCUGCAAAAGCUAAAAACUCUAAACAACGGAGAUAUACAAUUGAGUUCUUAUACACCGGAAAAGGAUCUCAACACUCGAGCUAACACGCACUAGUAUUCAUGUUUCAACCUUUUCAAGGUGAUUGGGUGCAGGCGAUAGGCUGCUUUCUCAGCCGAAGUGCGACUAUCAGCGAAAUUCUCCAUAAGUUGAUAAUUGAAUGUGUAUUACUGCUGGAAAAUGCUGGUUUUAAAGUUGAUGCAGUUACUUGUGAUGGAGCUCAAUGGAAUCGAGGCGCAUGGAAGUUAUUUGGUAUCAACAGACUCGAUAGAGUCUGGCGCCAAGUUCCGUUCUCAAGUCAGACUACCGAGUGUGUAUAUACCAAUACACGGAUUGAAGACUACAAAUUUAGUUGUCAGCAUCCACAUGAUCCGAGUCGGCGUUUAUGGUUCCUCUCGGACUUUUCCCACUUACUAAAAAACCUGAGAAAUAAAAUCAUGGAAACACCGUUCUUUUGGACACCAGAUGGUUUUGUUUACCGUAAAUAUUGGGAGGCAAUGUUAACUUACAAGAAUAGCUUCUAAGCAAAUUUAUCCGUAACAUAUAAAUUAACACCUGGUCACAUAAAACCGGAGCAGUAUCAAAAAAUGAACGUUCUUUUGGCUAUGGAGUUGUUUUCAAAGCGAUUGAGAGUGGCAAUGGAGAUGUAUGCGGACAAUUGCCCCGAGCUUAGAAGAUGUGAAUCUACAAUUGCAUUUAUAGAGAGGGUUGAUCGAUUUAUUACUGCUAUGACUUCAAGAACUCCGAUGAAUGCUUUACGCUCUGAUCCUUCGUGUGAAAUGAGAAAGGUAUUUUAUAU